AGGAAAUGGUGGUUGGAAACAUUCCAACGCGUCAUUUUUGUUCUCCCUACGCAACAAAGACAACCUUGCUCCAUUUAUUGCCAACAUCAAGCAAGGUGAGGAGCAGUUUGCAAUCUACUGUUUCUCUCGUUAUGGACCAUUAUUUGGCGGAGGUCAUGAUCUGCGUAUUUGUAACAAUCCUCAAGUUAAGCAAUCAUGCAGCAAUUUCGGAUACACAUACCAACUUCCCCCUGAUUAUGUCUAUAACAGCGAACAGUCAAAGAACCUUCUUGCUCGUCAGCACAAAUUCGUAACGACACAAAUUGAAGUCUUCAACUGAAAAGUCUGAAAACUGCCUUUGUUUACUUACUUCAACGAAAAAUAACAUGAUAUCGAUUACCACCGGUCUUAACAAUCAAUUUUAGACAGUGAUGUUGCAAAACUAUGAAGUAUUAAGAAUUAGUAUGAAUAGUUUAAGACGUGUGUACGAAUCUUGAAAAUUAGAAUUGGUUGUUAGCCUCAACACUAGCAGUUCCUGGAGUCAACAAAUCAAAGUCGUCGAAGAAAACGUGAAAAACUGAUUGUUACAGCCACCGGUAAUCAAUUAUGUAUUGUUAUUUUGGUUAAUGCAAGUAAUCAGCAUUUAGGUAAAUCAACAUUUAAUUUUCGACCGAAUACUUUAAAUCGGAUCGGAUCUGACCAUUUUACAU
Paramuricea clavata is the source of this 689-nucleotide non-coding RNA. The record is from the annotation of a GenBank genome assembly. NCBI's taxonomy places the organism in Eukaryota, Metazoa, Cnidaria, Anthozoa, Malacalcyonacea, Plexauridae.